GUUGCCAUGGCGUAAUGGACAAGCGUGCCUGCCUUCGGAGCAGGCGGUCAGGGUUCGAGUCCCUGUGGCAGCA
This 73-nucleotide transfer RNA is filed under the name Kouleothrix aurantiaca. It matches the Rfam family "tRNA". Rfam says of the family: Transfer RNA (tRNA) molecules are approximately 80 nucleotides in length. Their secondary structure includes four short double-helical elements and three loops (D, anti-codon, and T loops). Lineage: Bacteria; Bacillati; Chloroflexota; Chloroflexia; Chloroflexales; Roseiflexaceae. The record is from Rfam by way of RNAcentral.